AGAUGUUCCCAGGACGCGAGCUAAGUCUGCCCGGCCGGCGCGCGCCGCUUCCGCUUUGGUGGGAAGGACCUCCCUUCCCCCUUAUAGAAACACUUUCUCCAGGCCGGGCCGGGCUUGGUAAACCUCAGCCGUGCCUGGGUAGAGGACGCCGGGCUGGGCCGAGCGGGGGUGGAAUGAGGGCGUCUAGAACAGAGAAAACUAAGUAGGAUGGGGUCGUCCCCCCAGUAAUCUGGAAAACAGUUACAGCAACAGGCUCCUCUCAUCAGACGGCAGUGCUGGUCGUUUCCUCACUGGUUUGCGGGGAAGGCUGGGCAGAAAAAGGAUGCAACCUUGUUCUCAACCACUUGCUAUCUCGUGAUUCAGGGAUUGGAUGAGUCUCUAUGGUUUGUUUUGCCCUGAAGAGCAGAAGGCUUCUGUCCCAACUGGUGUUGCCAAAGCAACAUAUUAAUUCCAUGCCAUGAUCCUGGGUCAAGAUCUGCACAAUCUGAUUGGGCAUGUCACCUCGGAUGGCAAGGGAGUGGAAGUGGUCAAAAUCAUGGAGUCCCAGCUUUCGGAGACGCCUUGCAGCUGCCCGGUAACACUUCCAGGGUUGGGGCUCCACAAGGAGGUAGUGGCAGAGGGAGGAAAGAUGGGCCAGGAACUCCCAUAGGCCAUGGUCUCCAUGAUUCAGAUGAAUCCACAUGGUUAUUGACAUGCAGAAGCCAAUGUCAAAAACUGAACGUCCAAAUUGGCUUAAGAAAGAGCUCAAGAGAACCUUCCGGGUCCUUUGAUUCAUGAAGUCCAGGGUGAUAAAAGUCAAGGCAUCAGGAAAAGGACAUUCUUUUUCGGCUCGCUUCACCAGGACUGGAUCUAUGUCGCAGCAGAGGAGACGGAAUUCUCUUGAGGCAUCUGAGCAGGUUUCCCCGUCAGGUAGGGAGAGGAAGUGUUUGUAUAGAGCCACACUCAGAUCCUAGAGGAAUCCAAAACAGCUUUGUCACUGCAGUUCUCAAUCAGUGAAUGGAAGAGAAAUCUGUAUCAUUCUCCCACUGAGAAUGCCACUUACCUCUGGCUGUAUAGGAUGUGAGGUUCCUAAACCAUAACCUAAAGAGGUUGUGCAAAAAUUUUCUACAGAGUAGGCUCUCAGUGCCCUCCAGGGGUCACAUGCUGUAAUGCAUCAUCCCCAUAUUUUCCUGACACUGAUGAUAGAUUGGGUUGUAUAGCUGAAAGUUACAGCCAAAUGGAUGCAGCAAAGGAACCUACAGCAGUAUUUCCCAGCUUAAGUAAUAUGCUGAUAAACUCACUCUUUUUCUGGGUAUCUCAAGACCCCAGGGCGGAAGAAAGGGGUCCAGAGGCAUAACCAGUGUCUCUUACCAGGAAAGUGAGGAAUACAGCAAGCACAAUCUUACAAAAACCUGCUUCUCAGACCCGCGGUGGGGGAAGUCUGGAUUCCAAAGUCCUCAUUCAGCCUUCACUAAAGCUUCAAUUUUACUGUCUUAGGAUUCACCACCUCCUUCUGAGACAUUCUGCUUCUAUAACCAUCAUUGCUAAAAGUCACUGCUAACAACCUUCUAGACAAGUCCAAUGAUUUGUGAUUUUUACCACAUUAGCACCUUUUUUACUCUUAAGUCACCAUCUCCUUUCUCUAACUUUGAAUUCUUUUUUUUUUUGAGACAAAGUCUGGUUCUGUCGGCCAGGCUGGAGUGCAAUGGCGUGAUCUCAGCAACCUCUGCCUCCCAGGUUCAAGCGAUUCUCCUGCCUCAGCCUCCUAAGUAGCUGGGAUUACAGGCAUGCAUCACCACACUCAGCUAAUUUUUGUAUUUUUAUUAGAGACAGGGUUUCACCAUGUUGGCCAGGCUGGUCUUUAACUGACCUCAAGUGAUCCACCUGCCUCGGCCUCCCAAAGUGCUGGGACUAUAGGAAUGAGCCACUGCACCUGGCCUCUUUGAUUUCUAUAACCAUUAUAACUAACUCAAAUUUGUGUUUUUCCACAUAGUAUUUUCAAGGCAUUUUUCUGUUUACUACUUUGUUUGCUUGGUGUAACAAGCAUGUGAGGAAAAUAUUUAUUUAUGCCUUUUCUGCAGGUGAAGAAAAUGCACAAUGGAAACCACCCAGAUGUCCAGUGAUAGUGGCAUGGACAAAUAAAUGUGGUAUAAUCAUGAAGAUAGAAUACUAAAUAGCAGUUAAAAAAUGAAGGCACCCAGCUUGGUGCACAACAUGGAUGAUUCUCACAAAUACAUAAUGUUGAGAAAAAAAGCAAGCCAUAACAGAAAAUAUAUGAAAAGCAUCCAUUUACAUGAAGCUCAAAAAUGGGUGAAAUUAAAGUACAUCAUUCAGGGAAGAAAAACAGUACACUAUAAAGAAAAGCAAGGAAACAACAGAAGGCUAGUUGUUACCUCUGGGUAGAGAUAGAGGUUUAUGAACAGGAAAAGGCAUAUAGGGGAAGUUGUGGGGUGCUGAAAAUGUUUAUUAUUUAUUUAUUUAUUUAUUUUUGAGACAGGAUCUUACUCUGUUUCCCAGGCUGGAGUACAGUGGUGUGAUCACUGCAACCUUGACUUCCCAGGCUCCAGAGAUCCUCCUACUUCAGCCUUAUGAGUAGCUGGAACCACAGGUGCACACCACCAUGCCCAGCUAAUUUUUGUAUUUUUGGUAGGGAUGAGAUUUUGCCAUGUUGCCCAGGCUGAUCUCAAACUCCCGAGCUCAAGCAAUCCACCAGCGUCAGUCUCUGAAAAUGCUGGGAUUACAGCGUCAGCCACUGCACCCAGCAGUUUUUUGGGUUUUUUGUUGUUGUUUUAUUUGAGACAGGGUCUCACUUCGUCACCCAGGCUGGGGUAUGUGGCACAAUCAAGGCUCACUGCAGCCUCGACCUCCUGGGUUCAAGCGAUCCUCCUCCCUCAGCUCUCUAAGUAGCUGGGACUACAGAUGCCCACCACCACACCUGGCUAAUUUUUUUUAGAGAUGGGGUUUUGCCAUGUUGCCCAGGCUGGGAAAGGAGUUUUUAAAAUUGAAAAAAAAAAGCACCCAUAAAUUAUGGUACAUCUAUCCAAUGAAACAUUAGGAAGCUGCUAAAAAAAGAAUGUGGUGAUAUAAAUAAUCUCAGAAUUAAAAGCUAAAAAAAAAAAAAAAAAAAAAA
This 3109-nucleotide long non-coding RNA is filed under the name Homo sapiens (human). RNAcentral's name for it is "BCDIN3D antisense RNA 1 (BCDIN3D-AS1)". The record is from RNAcentral. Lineage: Eukaryota; Metazoa; Chordata; Mammalia; Primates; Hominidae.